GCUGACUCCAUCCAGUGCAGGAGUGGGGGGGGGCAGGGAUUUGCUGACUCAACACCUAACAACUCACCAAAAACUCCCUAAGUGGUCCUCCAGCCCAAAGAAUUGCCCAUCCCUGGCUUAGUAGCUCUGACUCACUGGCUUCUAAUUUUCUUGCAGUUUUAUUUGGCUCCAGAGGAGGAUGCAUUCAGCAUUGAGGAAAAUUACUGUUAAAUCUUUACAAGUCAGUAGACAUAAAGAUCAAGAUUUUCAGAGGCUGAUGAAACCCUUCUUGAGGCACUUGGCUGAACAUCUUCAUUUGAAAACCAGGAAGUUACCUAAGAGGAGUGAAGCCCUUUGGGGAUUGCUUAGUACUUGGGGCUUUUGGAAAUCAGGCAAGUGUCUAAAUACAGAUGUAUAUAAGAAAUUAACUUUAGAUUCAUAUUUUUUGGAAAUCUUAGCCUGUAUUUAUUUUUCUUUUUGUGUUUUCAGAUUGAGCACAAAUUGUUUCAUAGUAAUUAUGUCCUGAACAAAUAUUUACCUUAAUGAGGUUCUUGCUACUUUAGUAAUGAGGUGGGGUAUUGAGGUAAGAAUGAGCUGGAAAUUACUGUACUGAACAACAGGGCACUGGUGGUCAGUUGGAUUGCACAAUACCUAAAUCUACUCAACCCUCCUUUUAAGAGGAGGCCCCUGUAGAAGUUUCUAAUCACGAGUGUAACCACUUUACUUGUGAUCAAUUUUUUCAGCUUCCUGGGUUCAUCUGCUGAAGUGUCCUUGCAUAACUACUUCAGUAAAAUAAGCCUAUCUGGACUGUUGAAUUACCUGCUCUGUGGUCCUCAAAUGCUGUUAUUCCCUAGCUGCUAGAUGUCUAGAGGGCAACAGCAUCCUAGAUGGACCUUCUGGAAAAUUUGAGAAGUAUCCUGUGAGACAUCUUAAUGGAUCCCACACCAUGAUGGAGCUGAACAAUAGUGUAGAGAAGUUCUAUCCAAUUUAUUUGGCUUUGUGGUCUGGAUCCAGAUUGCAGGGCUUCUUGCAGGCAAGAUGACCCCCCUCUGGUGGCAGGACAGUGGCUUGUCAGUGUAGCCAGCAGCACUGUUGCGUUGGCGUGGCUCUGAAAUCCAGGGGGUGAACAUUGCCACCUCUUUUCCCCAGCCACCAGUUUGAGUGACAAGCAGUAACUGAAGUCCGUGAACUUGGCUGUGGAUGGGAGUACAGGGGCAAGCAGCACCACUGUUCACACCUGGGGUCUGAAGCCAUGCCAAUACAGUAGCUCUGGCAGCCAUGCUGACAAGCCUUGUGAGUCAUAACUUAACACCUUGCAGGCUGCAUGCAACCCACGGGCCACCAGUUGGACAACCUUAGUGUAGAGAGUACCAUCUUCCAAACUCCUUGAUAAUAAGGCCUUUGGUCUCAGUUUUUUGGGGUAGAUUUCUACCCAUUGGCUGGUUUGCCAGUUCCAUAGCCGUAGAUAUCACCAUCAUGAAACUGACCUUGAAUAUAUUAGAAUAAGGACAAUGGGCCAAAUGCUUAGCUGGUGUAAACUCCACUGGCUGAAAGCAAUGCAUGAAGCAUGGGGAAAACUGGCCCUAUUGAAACCAAAGGGAGUUUUACUGUUGACUUCAGUAAGCACUGGACGUUAUUCUUUGUGCAUAUAGUCAGUGAACUUCUUACAUGCAGUUUAUACUGACUGAAGCCCUGGCUCACUGAGUUGAGACAGUCUGCAAAAAUGUCUGCACUUGAUUUUCCAUUACUGUUUUGCAGUCAAGUAACAAAUAUGUUUGCCUAAUUUAAAAAAAAGUAUUUGUUUUUCUUUCUCUCCUGUCAGCUAUCAGAGAAACUAGGAUUAUGAGAAUGGUGGACUAGCCAACAGGAAAAUUUCAGCCUUUCCAAUUUCCUGUUCUAGGCAGGUAUGCUACCUUCAUGAAACACUCCCUACUGAUUAAAGUAAUUGUUGACUUGAAGUUUUCCAUGGAGUCUCUAACAGUGCCGCCUGCUGAGCUGUUCUGUAUCUCCCUGUUUCUAAUUGCGAUUGAAAUCCUUUUAACUCUUUUCCUAAACAGCAGACAUGCACAAAGCUACUUAGAAAAUGAUAAAUGCCCAUCUUUAUAGUCCUUUCAAUGGCAAAACAGACAAAAAUGUUGUUGCCUUCUUUUUCUACCUUAAUAAAUAAACUAUAUCAUUCA
This 2159-nucleotide long non-coding RNA is filed under the name Crocodylus porosus (Australian saltwater crocodile). RNAcentral's name for it is "lncRNA (ENSCPRG00005019108.1)". Lineage: Eukaryota; Metazoa; Chordata; Crocodylia; Crocodylidae. The record is from RNAcentral.